CCUACGGGAGGCAGCAGUGAGGAAUAUUGGUCAAUGGGCGCGAGCCUGAACCAGCCAAGUAGCGUGAGGGAUGACUGCCCUACGGGUUGUAAACUUCUUUUAUCAAGGAAUAAAGUGAGGCACGUGUGCCUUUUUGUAUGUACUUUAUGACUAAGGAUCGGCUAACUCCGUGCCAGCAGCCGCGGUAAUACGGAGGAUCCGAGCGUUAUCCGGAUUUAUUGGGUUUAAAGGGAGCGUAGAUGGGUUGUUAAGUCAGUUGUGAAAGUUUUCGGCUCAACCGUAACAUUGCAAUUGAUACUGGCAGCCUUGAGUUGAGUUGAGGUAGGCGGAAUGCGUGGUGUAGCGGUGAAAUGCUUAGAUAUCACGAAGAACCCCGAUUGCGAAGGCAGCUUACUAAACUGUGACUGACAUUGAUGCUCGAAAGUGUGGGUAUCAAACAGGAUUAGAUACCCGGGUAGUC
Molecule: ribosomal RNA, 460 nt
Filed under: uncultured bacterium
Lineage: Bacteria
Description: partial 16S ribosomal RNA
Rfam family: Bacterial small subunit ribosomal RNA
Source: RNAcentral